GACGAACGCUGGCGGCGUGCUUAACACAUGCAAGUCGAACGGCAAGGCCCUGCUUUUGUGGGGUGCUCGAGUGGCGAACGGGUGAGUAACACGUGAGUAACCUGCCCUUGACUUUGGGAUAACUUCAGGAAACUGGGGCUAAUACCGGAUAGGAGAUCCUGCUGCAUGGUGGGGGUUGGAAAGUUUCGGCGGUUGGGGAUGGAUUCGCGGCUGAUCAGCUUGUUGGUGGGGUAGUGGCUUGCCAAGGCUUUGACGGGUAGCCGGCCUGAGAGGGUGACCGGCCACAUUGGGACUGAGAUACGGCCCAGACUCCUACGGGAGGCAGCAGUGGGGAAUAUUGCACAAUGGGCGGAAGCCUGAUGCAGCAACGCCGCGUGCGGGAUGACGGCCUUCGGGUUGUAAACCGCUUUCGCCUGUGACGAAGCGUGAGUGACGGUAAUGGGUAAAGAAGCACCGGCUAACUACGUG
RNAcentral lists this ribosomal RNA (468 nucleotides) under uncultured bacterium. RNAcentral describes it as "partial 16S ribosomal RNA". It matches the Rfam family "Bacterial small subunit ribosomal RNA", at positions 28 to 507 of the family's 1533-position model. The record is from RNAcentral.